RNAcentral lists this ribosomal RNA (760 nucleotides) under Bacillus tequilensis. RNAcentral's name for it is "bacterial SSU rRNA". It matches the Rfam family "Bacterial small subunit ribosomal RNA", at positions 61 to 803 of the family's 1533-position model. Lineage: Bacteria; Bacillati; Bacillota; Bacilli; Caryophanales; Bacillaceae. The record is from RNAcentral.
GUCGAGCGGACAGAUGGGAGCUUGCUCCCUGAUGUUAGCGGCGGACGGGUGAGUAACACGUGGGUAACCUGCCUGUAAGACUGGGAUAACUCCGGGAAACCGGGGCUAAUACCGGAUGGUUGUUUGAACCGCAUGGUUCAAACAUAAAAGGUGGCUUCGGCUACCACUUACAGAUGGACCCGCGGCGCAUUAGCUAGUUGGUGAGGUAACGGCUCACCAAGGCAACGAUGCGUAGCCGACCUGAGAGGGUGAUCGGCCACACUGGGACUGAGACACGGCCCAGACUCCUACGGGAGGCAGCAGUAGGGAAUCUUCCGCAAUGGACGAAAGUCUGACGGAGCAACGCCGCGUGAGUGAUGAAGGUUUUCGGAUCGUAAAGCUCUGUUGUUAGGGAAGAACAAGUACCGUUCGAAUAGGGCGGUACCUUGACGGUACCUAACCAGAAAGCCACGGCUAACUACGUGCCAGCAGCCGCGGUAAUACGUAGGUGGCAAGCGUUGUCCGGAAUUAUUGGGCGUAAAGGGCUCGCAGGCGGUUUCUUAAGUCUGAUGUGAAAGCCCCCGGCUCAACCGGGGAGGGUCAUUGGAAACUGGGGAACUUGAGUGCAGAAGAGGAGAGUGGAAUUCCACGUGUAGCGGUGAAAUGCGUAGAGAUGUGGAGGAACACCAGUGGCGAAGGCGACUCUCUGGUCUGUAACUGACGCUGAGGAGCGAAAGCGUGGGGAGCGAACAGGAUUAGAUACCCUGGUAGUCCACGCCGU